Molecule: ribosomal RNA, 563 nt
Filed under: uncultured archaeon
Lineage: Archaea
Description: bacterial SSU rRNA
Rfam family: Archaeal small subunit ribosomal RNA
Source: RNAcentral
CGCGAUUCGCCCUUCGGGGUGCACCAGGCGCGAAAACUUUGCAAUGCGGGAAACCGUGACAAGGGAACUCUGAGUGCCCGUUAAAUCGGGCUGUCCAUCGGUUUAAAUAACCGGUGAAGAAAGGGCCGGGCAAGACCGGUGCCAGCCGCCGCGGUAAUACCGGCGGCUCGAGUGGUGGCCACUAUUACUGGGCUUAAAGCGUUCGUAGCUGGUUUGUUAAGUCUCUGGGGAAAUCUUCCGGCUUAACCGGAAGGCGUCUCAGGGAUACUGGCAGACUAGGGACCGGGAGAGGUGAGAGGUACUCCAGGGGUAGGAGUGAAAUCCUGUAAUCCUUGGGGGACCACCUGUGGCGAAGGCGUCUCACCAGAACGGCUCCGACAGUGAGGGACGAAGGCUGGGGGAGCAAACCGGAUUAGAUACCCGGGUAGUCCCAGCUGUAAACGAUGCGCGUUAGGUGUAUCGGUGACCACGAGUCACCGAGGUGCCGAAGAGAAAUCGUGAAACGUGCCGCCUGGGAAGUACGGUCGCAAGGCUGAAACUUAAAGGAAUUGGCGGGGGAGCAC